UACGUAGGGUGCAAGCGUUGUCCGGAAUUACUGGGCGUAAAGGGCUCGUAGGCGGCCAACUAAGUCAGACGUGAAAUCCCUCGGCUUAACCGGGGAACUGCGUCUGAUACUGGAUGGCUUGAGUUUGGGAGAGGGACGCGGAAUUCCAGGUGUAGCGGUGAAAUGCGUAGAUAUCUGGAGGAACACCGGUGGCGAAGGCGGCGUCCUGGACCAACACUGACACUGAGGAGCGAAAGCCAGGGGAGCAAACGGG
Molecule: ribosomal RNA, 253 nt
Filed under: uncultured bacterium
Lineage: Bacteria
Description: partial 16S ribosomal RNA
Rfam family: Bacterial small subunit ribosomal RNA
Source: RNAcentral